GAGCAAACAGGAUUAGAUACCCUGGUAGUCCACGCCGUAAACGAUGUCGAUUUGGAGGUUGUGCCCUUGAGGCGUGGCUUCCGGAGCUAACGCGUUAAAUCGACCGCCUGGGGAGUACGGCCGCAAGGUUAAAACUCAAAUGAAUUGACGGGGGCCCGCACAAGCGGUGGAGCAUGUGGUUUAAUUCGAUGCAACGCGAAGAACCUUACCUGGUCUUGACAUCCACAGAACUUUCCAGAGAUGGAUUGGUGCCUUCGGGAACUGUGAGACAGGUGCUGCAUGGCUGUCGUCAGCUCGUGUUGUGAAAUGUUGGGUUAAGUCCCGCAACGAGCGCAACCCUUAUCCUUUGUUGCCAGCGGUCCGGCCGGGAACUCAAAGGAGACUGCCAGUGAUAAACUGGAGGAAGGUGGGGAUGACGUCAAGUCAUCAUGGCCCUUACGACCAGGGCUACACACGUGCUACAAUGGCAUAUACAAAGAGAAGCGACCUCGCGAGAGCAAGCGGACCUCAUAAAGUAUGUCGUAGUCCGGAUUGGAGUCUGCAACUCGACUCCAUGAAGUCGGAAUCGCUAGUAAUCGUAGAUCAG
RNAcentral lists this ribosomal RNA (586 nucleotides) under uncultured bacterium. Its description in RNAcentral is "bacterial SSU rRNA". It matches the Rfam family "Bacterial small subunit ribosomal RNA", at positions 766 to 1352 of the family's 1533-position model. The record is from RNAcentral.